GAUGAACGCUGGCGGCGUGCCUGAUACAUGCAAGUCGAGCGAACAGACGAGGAGCUUGCUCCUCUGACGUUAGCGGCGGACGGGUGAGUAACACGUGGAUAACCUACCUAUAAGACUGGGAUAACUUCGGGAAACCGGAGCUAAUACCGGAUAAUAUAUUGAACCGCAUGGUUCAAUAGUGAAAGACGGUUUUGCUGUCACUUAUAGAUGGAUCCGCGCCGCAUUAGCUAGUUGGUAAGGUAACGGCUUACCAAGGCGACGAUGCGUAGCCGACCUGAGAGGGUGGUCGGCCAAACUGGAACUGAGACACGGUCCAGACUCCUACGGGAGGCAGCAGUAGGGAAUCUUCCGCAAUGGGCGAAAGCCUGACGGAGCAACGCCGCGUGAGUGAUGAAGGUCUUCGGAUCGUAAAACUCUGUUAUUAGGGAAGAACAAAUGUGUAAGUAACUAUGCACGUCUUGACGGUACCUAAUCAGAAAGCCACGGCUAACUACGU
RNAcentral lists this ribosomal RNA (496 nucleotides) under uncultured bacterium. RNAcentral describes it as "partial 16S ribosomal RNA". It matches the Rfam family "Bacterial small subunit ribosomal RNA", at positions 28 to 506 of the family's 1533-position model. The record is from RNAcentral.